Molecule: transfer RNA, 69 nt
Filed under: Ictidomys tridecemlineatus (thirteen-lined ground squirrel)
Lineage: Eukaryota; Metazoa; Chordata; Mammalia; Rodentia; Sciuridae
Description: Spermophilus tridecemlineatus (thirteen-lined ground squirrel) tRNA
Rfam family: tRNA
About the family: Transfer RNA (tRNA) molecules are approximately 80 nucleotides in length. Their secondary structure includes four short double-helical elements and three loops (D, anti-codon, and T loops).
Source: Rfam by way of RNAcentral
GGGGUUGUGGCUCAGUGGUAGAGCACUUGCCUAGCAUGUGCAAGGUCCUGGGUUCGAUCUUCAGCACCA